ACGAUGCUUUUAGCUAUGGCAGUCUUAACCCGACUCAGACAUCGUCACCAAUGGAUGACGAUACAUAUUUCUCGUACCCAAACCUAUUCACAUCUCAAGGCUCCAAGUAAGCAAAUGAGGCUUAGUUUCCAGUUUUGUGAUUACUCUUUCUUGAGAUUUGUUUCCUUUAGGGGAAAUAUUCGAGGUUUUGUUGUGUGUUGUAUGUAUGUGUUCAAACAAACUGCUGUAAAUUUGAUUCGCAAUUUUGUUUGUUGAUGUAACCAUAUGUUGAGCGCCAAGAAUUUUUCCAAUCUUCAUCUUCAUCAAUGGCCAACGGUGAAGGCAUAGAGUGCAGUUUGAGGCAAUUAGAAUGGAUUUUAAAUUUGAAUAUACACAACUUUUUGCCGUUACUAAUUGCACAUUCUUAAAAAUGAACUUGUCUAAUUCCAAACUACCAAGCUACAAAAUCCUCAGCCAAACAAUCUCCCGCUUGAUAAUAUCAAUAAUAGUCAAUCGAUAGCUAAUGCAAGCACCUCUUAUUUAGUCAUGAAAUUUUUGACUCAUCCAGUGCGAGACAUCCACGUGUCAAAUUUUUAUCCCCUGCUUGAGAUAAGAUGCUAUCUUCUCAGAAUCACUAGAUAAUCAUAUCCGAUAACAACCGUCGAUCGCUUCCUCUCUUCCAAUCCUAUGCGUUCAUUCUCGUCCUAAACACCUCCUUUCAAGUUUCAACGUCCAUACAUUUUCAAAACUCUCUCUCCCUCUCUCUCUCUGCGCGCAACCACGUCGCCGCUAUAAUGGCCGCCGCUCUGCAGCAGACUCCAAUCACAUUCCGUUCCCGCUCGCCGCCGUCGGCGCAACUCCAAUCGAAACCAACAAGCAAGCUCUCCCUCUCUUCAAGUUUCAAGCUCACCAGACUGACCAUCAAACCCUACCUCCGCCGCGGGGGACGUGGCGGCGCGUGCGGCGCCAGGAUGGCCAACACCGCGUCGGCGAGCUACGCCAAUGCGCUCGCCGACAUCGCCGUCACCAAUGGCAGCCUCGCCGAGACCGCGGCGGACGUGGAGAAGCUCGUGGACAAGUUCUUCUCCGAUGAGGCGAUCAUGAGCUACUUCACCAACCCUACCGUCCGCAUCGAGGCGAAGCGGGAGAUCGUCGACGAGAUCUGCAAAUCGAUGAAUUUGCAGCCGCACGUGGCGAAUUUCUUGAACAUCCUGGUGGACAUGAAGCGUAUCGAUCUGAUAAAGGAGAUCGUGGAGGAGUUCGAUCUGAUCG
RNAcentral lists this long non-coding RNA (1251 nucleotides) under Salvia miltiorrhiza (redroot sage). RNAcentral's name for it is "long non-coding RNA (SMIL_LNC005502)". The record is from RNAcentral. Lineage: Eukaryota; Viridiplantae; Streptophyta; Magnoliopsida; Lamiales; Lamiaceae.